This 448-nucleotide ribosomal RNA is filed under the name uncultured bacterium. RNAcentral's name for it is "bacterial SSU rRNA". It matches the Rfam family "Bacterial small subunit ribosomal RNA", at positions 328 to 794 of the family's 1533-position model. The record is from RNAcentral.
CCUCCAGACUCCUACGGGAGGCAGCAGUGGGGAAUAUUGCACAAUGGGGGAAACCCUGAUGCAGCGACGCCGCGUGAAGGAUGAAGUAUUUCGGUAUGUAAACUUCUAUCAGCAGGGAAGAAAAUGACGGUACCUGGCUAAGAAGCCCCGGCUAACUACGUGCCAGCAGCCGCGGUAAUACGUAGGGGGCAAGCGUUAUCCGGAUUUACUGGGUGUAAGGGAGCGUAGACGGCAUGGCAAGUCUGGAGUGAAAGCCCGGGGCCCAGCCCCGGGACUGCUCUGGAAACUGUGGAGCUUGAGUGCGGGAGGGGCAGGCGGAAUUCCUAGUGUAGCGGUGAAAUGCGUAGAUAUUAGGAGGAACACCGGCGGCGAAGGCGGCCUGCUGGACCGUAACUGACGUUGAGGCUCGAAAGCGUGGGGAGCAAACAGGAUUAGAUACCCGAGUACC